RNAcentral lists this small RNA (98 nucleotides) under Olea europaea subsp. europaea. The record is from RNAcentral. Lineage: Eukaryota; Viridiplantae; Streptophyta; Magnoliopsida; Lamiales; Oleaceae.
GAUUUUUAUGGGACAUUCGAUAAAAUUGGAACAAUACAUAGAAAUUAAUAUAGUGACUGCACAAGAAUGACACGCAUAGAGAGAUACUAGAUGUUAAA